This 498-nucleotide ribosomal RNA is filed under the name uncultured bacterium. RNAcentral's name for it is "partial 16S ribosomal RNA". It matches the Rfam family "Bacterial small subunit ribosomal RNA", at positions 30 to 523 of the family's 1533-position model. The record is from RNAcentral.
AUUGAACGCUGGCGGCAUGCCUUACACAUGCAAGUCGAACGGUAACAGGUCUUCGGAUGCUGACGAGUGGCGAACGGGUGAGUAAUACAUCGGAACGUGCCCGAGAGUGGGGGAUAACGAAGCGAAAGCUUUGCUAAUGCCGCAUACGAUCUCAGGAUGAAAGCAGGGGACCGCAAGGCCUUGCGCUCACGGAGCGGCCGAUGGCAGAUUAGGUAGUUGGUGGGAUAAAAGCUUACCAAGCCGACGAUCUGUAGCUGGUCUGAGAGGACGACCAGCCACACUGGGACUGAGACACGGCCCAGACUCCUACGGGAGGCAGCAGUGGGGAAUUUUGGACAAUGGGCGCAAGCCUGAUCCAGCCAUGCCGCGUGCAGGAUGAAGGCCUUCGGGUUGUAAACUGCUUUUGUACGGAACGAAAAGACUCUGGUUAAUACCUGGGGUCCAUGACGGUACCGUAAGAAUAAGCACCGGCUAACUACGUGCCAGCCGCCGCAGUAA